RNAcentral lists this ribosomal RNA (468 nucleotides) under uncultured bacterium. Its description in RNAcentral is "partial 16S ribosomal RNA". It matches the Rfam family "Bacterial small subunit ribosomal RNA", at positions 28 to 507 of the family's 1533-position model. The record is from RNAcentral.
GACGAACGCUGGCGGCGUGCUUAACACAUGCAAGUCGAACGGAAAGGCCCUGCUUUUGUGGGGUGCUCGAGUGGCGAACGGGUGAGUAACACGUGAGUAACCUGCCCUUGACUUUGGGAUAACUUCAGGAAACUGGGGCUAAUACCGGAUAGGAGCUCCUGCUGCAUGGUGGGGGUUGGAAAGUUUCGGCGGUUGGGGAUGGACUCGCGGCUUAUCAGCUUGUUGGUGGGGUAGUGGCUUACCAAGGCUUUGACGGGUAGCCGGCCUGAGAGGGUGACCGGCCACAUUGGGACUGCGAUACGGCCCAGACUCCUACGGGAGGCAGCAGUGGGGAAUAUUGCACAAUGGGCGGAAGCCUGAUGCAGCAACGCCGCGUGCGGGAUGACGGCCUUCGGGUUGUAAACCGCUUUCGCCUGUGACGAAGCGUGAGUGACGGUAAUGGGUGAAGAAGCACCGGCUAACUACGUG